This 425-nucleotide ribosomal RNA is filed under the name uncultured bacterium. RNAcentral describes it as "bacterial SSU rRNA". It matches the Rfam family "Bacterial small subunit ribosomal RNA", at positions 958 to 1401 of the family's 1533-position model. The record is from RNAcentral.
AACGCGAAGAACCUUACCAGGGUUUGACAUGCUAUUGCACCACCCAGAGAUGGGUGUCUCUUCGGAGCGGUAGCACAGGUGCUGCAUGGCUGUCGUCAGCUCGUGUCGUGAGAUGUUGGGUUAAGUCCCGCAACGAGCGCAACCCCCAUCGUCGGUUACAAGUGUCCGGCGAGACUGCCACGAUCAACGUGGAGGAAGGUGGGGAUGACGUCAAGUCAGCACGGCCCUUACGUCCUGGGCGACACACACGCUACAAUGGUCGGUACAAUGGGUCGCCAACCCGCGAGGGGGAGCCAAUCCCACAAAACCGAUCUCAGUUCAGAUUGGAGGCUGCAACCCGCCUCCAUGAAGUUGGAGUUGCUAGUAACCGUAGGUCAGCACACUACGGUGAAUACGUUCCCGGGCCUUGUACACACCGCUACAGU